CGAAUAACAUUUUUUCAAAGCUUUGGUGAAAGCAAUUGUUCUGAGUUAUGGGAUGAGACCAGGAUGACAUACUUUGCUAUUUCCCCUACUACCAACAGCCAAACAUUUCAAACAGGUAUUGCCAAAAACAAGAGAAUUUUGCUUUUUCUCAUUUGCCCACACCUACGUUUUUAAUAGAAGAAAGGCGGUGAUUUUGCGUUGCACACUCAGUACUUUCCCAGUGCCUUUCCAUUCCUAGAAGAGUUUGUAUCACAUGUUCUUGUGGAUUAUUUCUGCCAGCUUUUACGUUACUACCAAGCAGUUUGGACUAUCAUUUUUACUUUUAUCUGGGUGUUAUUUCUUGCCAUCUUUUGCAGAAGCAUUAAAAUCACUUUCUGUUGCCUCCUAUCUACCAUUUGUAAAGAAUUUAUAUGUGAAUUUCUGCCCUUUCUGGCUCAAGAUACAAAUAAAUUUGACUUCUGUCAAAUUUGUGCGCACAGUCUGUCACAUUUCCUGUUUUGCUGGUUGUAUGGGAACUGUAGAAUCACGGCCUGAACCUCUGAUUGACCACCUGAGGCGAGUGCUGAGUCAGCUGCAGGGGCACAGAUGAACGCAAUUUCACCUGAGUGUCCGGAAGUGGUGGUCCGGCCUGGCUCCACCCCUCCCAGACCUCAUUUAAGGGCUGACUCCCAAGGAGGAAGGAUCUCUAUCUGGAGAUCACCCUUCUUGGAGCCCUUCUGCAAGCCCAGGAUAUGGUGUACUGGCAUUCUGCUGUUUAAAAGGAAAAAAAUGAGAUGUGUUGCCAAUACAUCUACACAGCUCUGGAACAUCUCCAGGACUGUGACUCCAUCACCUCCCUGGGCAGCACUUUCCAGCAUCUGAACACUCUUUUGGAGAAGAAACUGUUCCUAAUCAACCUGAAUCUCCCUUGAGGCAACCUGAGGCUGUAACUGGAGGCCAACUGUGGAGUGUUUAAAGCGUUUAUGUGG
This is a long non-coding RNA of Gallus gallus (chicken), 968 nucleotides long. NCBI's taxonomy places the organism in Eukaryota, Metazoa, Chordata, Aves, Galliformes, Phasianidae. The record is from Ensembl.